UACAGAGACUGCAAGCGUUAUUCGGAUUCACUGGGCGUAAAGGGUGCGCAGGCGGCCAAGUGUGUGAGGCAUGAAAGCCCGGGGCUUAACCCCGGAAUUGCACCUCAAACUACAUGGCUAGAGCAUUGGAGAGGGUAGCAGAAUUCAUGGUGUAGCAGUGAAAUGCGUAGAUAUCAUGAGGAAUACCAGAGGCGAAGGCGGCUACCUGGACAAUUGCUGACGCUCAGGCACGAAAGCGUGGGGAGCAAAAGGG
Molecule: ribosomal RNA, 253 nt
Filed under: uncultured bacterium
Lineage: Bacteria
Description: partial 16S ribosomal RNA
Rfam family: Bacterial small subunit ribosomal RNA
Source: RNAcentral